CCAGCCUGCCCAGUGACCUAGUUUAACGGCCGCAGUACCCUAACCGCGCGAAGGUAGCAUAAUCACUUGUUCUUUAAAUGGGGACUUGUAUCAACGGCAUCACGAGGGUUGCACUGUCUCCUUUUUCUAAUCAGUGAAACUAAUCCCCCCGUGAAGAAGCGGGGAUAAACCUAUAAGACGAGAAGACCCCAUGGAGCUUUAAACCUAGCUACACCUCAUGUUUGUUAUAUCCUUCAAUCUACUGAGACCUGUAAACUAGACUUUAGGUUGGGGUGACCGCGGAGUAUAAUAAAGCCUCCACGAUAAACGAGACUACCCUCUUAUCCAAGAAAUACACCUCUAAGAAUUAAUAUUUUAAUAUAAAUGAUCCGAUAAUCGAUCAACGGACCAAGUUACCCUGGGGAUAACAGCGCAAUCCAUUUCUAGAGCUCCUAUCGACAAAUGGGUUUACGACCUCGAUGUUGGAUCAGGAUAUCCCAGUGGUGUAGCAGCUACUAAUGGUUCGUUUGUUCAACGAUUAAAAUCCU
RNAcentral lists this ribosomal RNA (527 nucleotides) under Gephyromantis rivicola. RNAcentral describes it as "partial 16S ribosomal RNA". It matches the Rfam family "Bacterial large subunit ribosomal RNA", at positions 1854 to 2597 of the family's 2925-position model. The record is from RNAcentral. Lineage: Eukaryota; Metazoa; Chordata; Amphibia; Anura; Mantellidae.